UUCUCUUAUCAAAGUGGCUUCUUGGUCAUAGUGUCUGGAUAGUACCUUGCCCAAAACCCCCAUUGGGUUUCACGUGCACUUUAAGAAGGGAUGUCCUAUGUUGAGAUGGAGAUGGGAAUGGAGAUGGGAAUGGGGCAGGGCCAGUUUCUUAUGUGUAAGAGAAAAACUAGAAUUGUUGACUGUUCUGUAGACUUACCUAACUCUACACAAAUAACUUGCUGAAACUUGGCAGGAAAGGAAAUCACAUUAACUUUUCUAUCCCUCCUUAUUUGGUAAAUAAUUUUGUAAUCUAUUAGAAGUGCUGCUGCUGCCAGUCUUCCCUGGCACAUUUUCCCAUGCUAUAGCCACACCUUUUUAAAUGUCAGUACUCCCCCCAACCCCCACUCCGCUAUCCGGUAAUUUCACCAUUCUGGUUUACUACCUGGAUAGCACAACUGUAUUCUUAUAAGUAAUUAGGUUUAUCUAAAUGUGACAAUUUCUAAGUAACCUUCAUCUGCUGGCUACUAAUUUGGAACAUAAUUUUCUUUGCUAUUUCUAUCCAUUUAGAAGCUUAGGGGCCGUGAGUUUCAAUGUGAAGAGUAUAAAUUCCAGCUAAGAGUUUGUAAAUUGUCUUAUCUUAGAAUCUCACUUCAAUUUUAAAGUAGUAACUAAGUUCCAGGAAGCACCUAAUCAGAACAUGUCUUGGAUUUUAAGAUGUGUUUAUUUGGGAUACUUUAUUUUCCCUAUGCAUAAAAGAAAAAUAUUGCUGGAAUAGUUCUCCAACUACUGUUUUUAGAUGAGAGCUGAAGCAGAAGCUCCAAGACUAGCAAUCAAAGUAACUCUUGAGGUAAUUAGGAUCAUGCUGUUAGUCAAAGAGAACUGGGAGUGCGCUGUCACAUAAUAAUGUACUGCACAUGCCAAUGAGGUGCACAAAGAUCUGCAAUGGUGACGCUGAGAACACAAGUGAAGUGAAGUUUGUGUAUGGAGAGUAUGGCAGGUCCUGAGAGCUUCAAGCUUCAGGAGUGUUAGAACUAUAGUUCAUAGUUGUUUAAAUAUAAUAUUUCUUGUGACAACCAAAAUAUGUUGUGGCUGGUGCCAAUAUUUUCGUUAAUGAAAUGUUGAAUGUCGCAUUACAGUCUGAUCAGAAUUCUCAGUGUAAUAAGCCAGGCCUAAGCCAUUUUAUAGCUAUUGGCCUAACUGUGUAACUUUUUUUUUCAAAAUGUUUUAUUAUAAUACUUGUCAUUUCUUUCACUUAAUAUAUGUUAAUUGUCAUAAUAAAAAGUUU
This 1264-nucleotide long non-coding RNA is filed under the name Mus musculus (house mouse). Its description in RNAcentral is "long non-coding RNA chr7:97691503-97692767". The record is from RNAcentral. Lineage: Eukaryota; Metazoa; Chordata; Mammalia; Rodentia; Muridae.